UGAGAUUUUCUUUGACAUUUUCUAUCUCCUUGCAAACUUAACAAGUUGGGAGGGAGUAUCAUAAAGGAUCUCAAAUUCAAUAUCAUUGUUGUUCUGGGGUUUCUCAAUGGGCUGAGGAACUAAGAAAGUUUGGCUACCUGGCAUUGAUUCCAAAUGGAAGUCUCCAGGUACUAUUAGGUAAAAGGCAUAGGGGAGUUAUUCUCUGUUUCCUUCUUCUAUUAAAUGUUGUGGUGAGAUAAAAGAACAUGGAAGAAGCAAUGGGCAAACAAGAGAGAAUUAAAAAUGCUUAAUAGUAUUCACUCCCCCACCCUAUUUCUGUCAAUUUCUGUGAAAAAUAUACACUGACUAUACAACAGAAGUCUUGCCUGGAAGCUCAGGGUGGCUACUCAGAUAGCUAAAAUUACAAAAAUAAAUUUAAAAGAGAAUGGGCAAAUGUCAACAUGAAGCAAACACAGAGAUCAGACAUAAAUGACUGAUAGCUCAGCUAUACUACAUCUUCCACAACAAAGAGAAGCUUGGCUUGUUGGUGGUUGAGCAACCUUUCCAUGAGGACUGGAUAGUCAAUUUUGGAUUGGGCGGCAACUGAAGAAGUGAACUGAGCAUUUAUUGAAAAUUUCUGGAACACAGAACAUCAUCUCAGCAUAAGAAUGGGAAUGGGCUCAGGGUUAUUCUGAUAUCAUCGAUGACAGUGCAGAGAAGAGACAUUCCUCUUAGCAUCUGCUCAGAGCUAAAAGAUUCCUUUUUUCUACCUCUUGCAAGCAGGGAACAUGUCAGAAAGAGGACCACAACCAUGAUGCUUGGAGGAAGACCUUCAGGCACUGAGAUCCCUCACCAACCCACGGCUGGUCUUUGCCUCAUAGGGCAAAAAUACCCAGACAUUAUACAGGAGAUAAUGGUACUAUGCCAAUCAUAAGUCUUCAGAGUUCUCUUGUUUGGCUUUUUCCAGUUGGCUCCAAAGUUAUCAUUCAUGGAAUCAUAUUUCCACUCAUAAAAUGACCCUUUUCAUUUCUGGAAGGAAUGAAGGUUCCCAAAUAAAAG
This is a long non-coding RNA of Sceloporus undulatus (fence lizard), 1038 nucleotides long. RefSeq lists it as uncharacterized. The record is from RefSeq and is a predicted model, not a curated record. The transcript is spliced from 3 exons. Lineage: Eukaryota; Metazoa; Chordata; Lepidosauria; Squamata; Phrynosomatidae.